Molecule: long non-coding RNA, 4620 nt
Filed under: Homo sapiens (human)
Lineage: Eukaryota; Metazoa; Chordata; Mammalia; Primates; Hominidae
Description: HSALNT0402932
Source: RNAcentral
AAACCCUGACAAGUGCAUCAAGUAGUGAAUUGCCCAGGAGGGAUUUUUAUGAAGAGAAGCACCAGUUAGCUAUUCUUGAUUAUAAAAUAGUGCCUGUGACUUUAAUAUGGAGGGUCUUUAAAAAUCAAUUCAGAUUAAAAUCACAUACUAUAUAAGGUUCUAUUUCAAGCUUGUUAGUGUGGAAAAUCAUCAACAAAAGUAAUUUUGAAAUUUAUUUUCCUACCACUGGUAUCACUCAACUAUGACCUGUUUGGCUGUAGGAAACAGGUUUUAAAUGUUCAUUAUUAAGCAUACUGGUAAUUUUUUUGUUUAUUCCAUAAAACUUGUAUCUAAUACUACCUCACCUUAUAAGGGUUGGUAGAGGAAGCUUUUGGCAUCAUUUAGCAUCAUUUAAUACUCCAAUUCUCUAUAAGUGGCUGGCACAACAAUAUCUACAACAUUUUUCAGAUUCCAUCUUCAUAAAUAAGUUAAAGACUCUCACUCUAAAAGCCAAAAUUUAUGUACUUGAGUUGGAGGCCGAAUAAUAGGAAAUAGAGUCCCAUAAAUUCCAGUCCUGGGGAGGUGCUGUUGCACUUUUGAUGUCCUCUUAUGAGUGUCUAAAAGUACGCAUAUAAACCUUUUAAUCAGUAAACCAAAUUUUGAAAUAGUAUACCUUUGCAGUCAGAAGAGAAUUUUUGAGACAUUCAAAAGUCUUCUUACAGCCUUUAUGUUGACACAAAGUCCUAGACAACCACCUGCUUUCCCUCUGUUGCCUUUACCAAACUUCAUUGGUAUGUGUUCCAAACCUUAAGAAAAGCUGCAAUCCUUUUGGAAUAUUCAUUUUCCUCACUUCAGCUGAGAAACAUUCACCUCUGAGAUCACAUCUGGAAAAGAAAAUGACCUAACGUUUUAUAGUUGUCAUAGCCCACAUUUUUGGAAAGCUAUGUGAACGAUGCCACACAAUAGAGCCGCAGUGCAGGUACAGUGCAUUGUCUGAGAUUGUAUUUUCCCUUAGCUAAUUGAUAAAAUAAUUCAAGAAUAGAACCAUGGGGUAAUUUUCUUAUCAUUGGAAAACUACAAUUUUCUCUAAAGGCCUAAGGGUUGCCUCUGGCAAACAUUAAUAGCUGAUCUUUCCACAAGCUAGCUUCAAGUCCUUAAAAGACUUUUAGCACCAGGUUGGAUGUGCUAGCUAGCCUCAUUACAUUUUACAUCGUACCUGGCCAUUUUGCUUCUCUGCCCAUGUCUUCUGAGUUUUCUUAUGUUCUUGUUUGAUUCACAGUGGUGUCUUUGAGUAUAUAGAAAUGCUUAGGUAAACUGGGAGAGAUCCUGUUUCUCUCCCCUUCAUAAUUUUGUAGUCACUUUCAAAAACCAAAGUUGUAAUACAAACCUUCGCCACUUCCGCAACUUCUAAAUCAUGGCUUUCUCCUUUCAAUUACCUUACUUUUGGGGGGGAAAUGUCCAUUAGAAAAGCACUUAGAGUGCUGAUAGCCUAAUGUGGAUAAAAACGGGCUCAAUCCAGUCUGUGGGAGAGACUAAAGUAUGGGAAUAAUACCAGUGGGUUCAAUGCUGUAACACACACUGAUCAAUAAGCUUUAGAUCUCUAGCGAAGGCCUUUCUCUCCCUUUUCCCUGAUUGCUUUCCUAUAACAAAUAAAUACUUUUUCUCACAAGACCAUACCUUUGAGUUUGCUACCUACUUCCAUUACAUUUCCGACCCCACUUCAACAGAGAAAGUGUUUCUUUAAAGCUGCAGUGGCCUUUCCCUGUGUCCAUAAAAAUCUGGGCUUUUGUCCAUAGAGCUCUUUGCUCUUUUCUGCUUUUCUAAGGACAGUUGACAACAAUGUCGGGGCAGGGGGGAAGCUUCCAUUCCCCACCCCCAACAACAUCCACAAAGAGAUUUUUAUCUCCUAAGUGGAGUCAAGAAUGGGGACUUACACAUGGCUAAACUCUGGGGAUAGUCUGACCAGAGAGAGGGUAGAUGAAUUUAGGGCUUAGUGGGCUCAAGCAUGAUUACCUGCUCCUACCCACACUUUCACCUCCAUAAUAAAAUCUACCUCACUUUACAUAGUUCUGUGCUAAUAAAGAUAAUCAUGAUAAUCUUUCCAAAGUAAGCAGCAGGGAUGGUCUUUUAGAUCCCUUUGGAAUUGCUUGCAUCCCAGAGAAUUUUGUGCCUUUACUACUAAAGUCAGGUCUACCUGCCAAAGAAUAGACAGCCCUCUGAAGGGGAGAUUUCCUGCUUGUAGUUCACUCUGGAAAGGCCUGUUCUGGGGAGACUGAGAUGCUUAAGGGUGAAGUUCUGGCCUACUUUGACUAUUAUAGAUGAUAUAUACCAAGAGUGUAGCAAUCAAAAAUCACUCAGAAAACAGGCAGGCCUGAGUCAGAAGCAGCAACUCCUUCUACUUGCAUUUCUGGCCUGGGCAAGCCAUUGACCCAUUUUUCUCUUUGGUUUUCACAACCCAGUGUCUCCUAGUUCUCUUCUUAAUGCUAAUUUCAUCUGGUCUCAUAACAGAUUUAUUUUCCCAUAACUGCCGAUAUUCUGCCUUACAGCUGUCUCUUCCUUCAUUACAUCUUGAGCAGAAACAGCCAUCCCUAUGUCUUCAAGCACCUCAUACUGUAUUCCAAGUUCCUUCUAAUUGUCUAGUUGUCUUCUGUUUCCUACCACUCAUGAAUAUCCAGCUUGUCAACCUAUUAGCUAAAUUUCAACAUGCCCCAAUCUUGAAUUCAGUAUACAGCCAUUCUCCCCAGUUUGUUCUUCUAUCCCUUUGUUGGGAAUUUGCUUAUUUCUAAAAAUGUUGGUCCUCAGCAGAUUCUUCUUACGCUAGCCACUUUUUGAAGACUUUCCUAAUCUGUAGCUUACAACCCAUAUCUUUUGCCUUAACCCAGAGCGUUAUCAUGUCUCACCUCAGUUAUUGCUCUAGCAUCUACUUGGGCCUGCUUCCCCUUCCCAGUUGUGAUAAUAGCCACUAUUGCUAGAGCAAUCAUUCUAAAAUACAAAUCUGUUAAAUCUGCCUAAAAUCCUCUGGUGACUUUUUAUUGCUCAUGAAAUUGCACACUCACUUGUCUUUAGGGGCCUGGGGGAGUAGUAAAGAAUGUAAGGCUUCUGGUGGAAUACUGUAGGAAGGGGUGGCUCUACCUUAAAUGGAGGAGGUAAAGUUAUUCUAGUUCAAAUAUUUUUAAAACAAGAAAAAUCCAUGUGUUAGCCGAACAAAAGUGAUACAACUACUAGUGUCCAGUGUGAGCCCAUGGGGUUAAUUCUGUGUCCUCCAAGCUCCUUAGACUUCUGGCUCUGCCUGCAUUUUCACCUUUUCAACUCGUUCUCCUACCCUCUAACAGCAUUCUGUGCAUCAUCACCAAUCAUUCCAUAUUCAAACAUUCCCAAAUAAGAACUCACUAUUUCCUGAGUGCUCCUGCUUUCUUGGCAUCAGUGCCUUCAGUCACGUAACAUUCUCUGCCUAAAAUACCUCCUUCCUUUGCUCAUUCUGAACCUGGUAAACUCCUGUUCAUCUUUCAAACCUAACACAUUUACUUCCUCAAAGAAGCCCUCCCUCCCUAAUUCACUAUUGUCGGACAGAGUGUGUUUCUCAGCCCUUUGAAAUACCAAAUGCUUAUUGCACUUAUUACAAUGGUUAACAACAUACUUUGUAACUUUGUAUUCCUUCUGAAGGCAAGAAAGUGCAUCUUCUUAAUCUUACAUUCAGUGAGUGCCUAGUACAUACAUUUUUUGUUUUUGUUUUUGUUUUUGUUUUUUAGACAGAGUCUUGCUUUGUCCCCCAGUCUGGAGUGCAGUGGUGCCAUCUCAGCUCCCUGCAACCUCCGCCUCCUGGGUUCAAGCACUUCUCCUACCUCAGCCUCCCGAGUAGCUGGGGAGCUGUGCUGAUAGUUAUGAUUUCCUUUUAUUCUGAUGCCAGAAAUUAAUGUAAUCAACAUUUUAUUUUUUAACUAUUGCAUUUUAUUUGCCCUCCUCAAAAACCUCAUUUCCUAUCCCCACCCCACCCCAAAGAGAGAAAGUAAGGUCUGGGUUGAUAUCACUCUUGUUAUAUUCUAGAUCAUUCCAGAUGGCUCUGAACAAUGUAAAUAUAGAGCAUAUCCAGGAUGAGGAGAUCUGUUUACAGUGGGGAUGGAAUAGUCCCUCUUCCCUCACCAAGAAAUACUGAGAAAGAGGACUCAUUAUGAUCUCUGUCCAAUAUGAGGCCAUGCUUCAAGACUGUAUUUCUCAAAUAAAGGGGGCAUUUUCAGGUGGGUAUCUAUGGACUUACAAGGACCAUGGAGACAGCUAGAUGUAUUUAGCAGGAGGACAGAGAAGUUCGAAUUACAAUGUCCCUAGCUUUGCUAAGGAAAGGGGGAUCUUCCCUAUGCUGUUCUCUUCCUAUAAGCUCCUUUCUAGCUUGAGGAAACCAAGAAGACUUCUAACCUAACUAUAUAGAGGAUAGUCGUACUUUUUUACUCUCAUGGAAGACAGGAAGUUUCUUGUGAGUCUGCAUAUUUAAAAUAAAAUUUGUUUUUCUCAGCAUCUUUCCCCCUUGGGUAAGGUUGUAAACUGGUAGAAUUGGGAUUUGAAACUGUGGACUACAGAGAGAUAAGAGGCCUUAUCAACCACGUUCUCCCCCCUCUAAACCAAACCAAAUAGCAACCUAAGAAAUAU